GAACUGAAGAGUUUGAUCAUGGCUCAGAUUGAACGCUGGCGGCAGGCCUAACACAUGCAAGUCGAGCGGAUGAGGGGAGCUUGCUCCCCGAUUCAGCGGCGGACGGGUGAGUAAUGCCUAGGAAUCUGCCUGGUAGUGGGGGACAACGUUUCGAAAGGAACGCUAAUACCGCAUACGUCCUACGGGAGAAAGCAGGGGACCUUCGGGCCUUGCGCU
This 216-nucleotide ribosomal RNA is filed under the name Pseudomonas sp. IC_126. RNAcentral describes it as "partial 16S ribosomal RNA". It matches the Rfam family "Bacterial small subunit ribosomal RNA", at positions 1 to 219 of the family's 1533-position model. Lineage: Bacteria; Pseudomonadati; Pseudomonadota; Gammaproteobacteria; Pseudomonadales; Pseudomonadaceae. The record is from RNAcentral.